AACGAACGCUGGCGGCAUGCCUAACACAUGCAAGUCGAACGAGACCUUCGGGUCUAGUGGCGCACGGGUGCGUAACGCGUGGGAACCUUCCCUUAGGUUCGGAAUAACUCCCCGAAAGGGGUGCUAAUACCGGAUAAUGUCUUCGGACCAAAGAUUUAUCGCCUUUGGAUGGUCCCGCGUUGGAUUAGCUAGUUGGUAGGGUAAAAGCCUACCAAGGCGACGAUCCAUAGCUGGUCUGAGAGGAUGAUCAGCCACACUGGGACUGAGACACGGCCCAGACUCCUCCGGGAGGCAGCAGUGGGGAAUAUUGGACAAUGGGCGAAAGCAUGAUCCAGCAAUGCCGCGUGAGUGAUGAAGGCCUUAGGGUUGUAAAGCUCUUUUAACCGGGAUGAUAAUGACAGUACCGGGAGAAUAAGCUCCGGCUAACUACGUG
Molecule: ribosomal RNA, 433 nt
Filed under: uncultured bacterium
Lineage: Bacteria
Description: partial 16S ribosomal RNA
Rfam family: Bacterial small subunit ribosomal RNA
Source: RNAcentral